GACGAACGCUGGCGGCGUGCCUAAUACAUGCAAGUCGAACGGUCUUUUCUAUGGAAGCUUGCUUCCACUGAGAAGAUAGUGGCGAACGGGUGAGUAACACGUGGGUAACCUGCCCAUAAGAGGGGGAUAACAUCCGGAAACGGGUGCUAAUACCGCAUAGUUUUCUUGAUUGCAUGAUCGAGAAAGGAAAGACGGCCUUUGUGCUGUCGCUUAUGGAUGGACCCGCGGCGUAUUAGUUAGUUGGUGAGGUAACGGCUCACCAAGACGAUGAUACGUAGCCGACCUGAGAGGGUGAUCGGCCACAUUGGGACUGAGACACGGCCCAAACUCCUACGGGAGGCAGCAGUAGGGAAC
RNAcentral lists this ribosomal RNA (354 nucleotides) under uncultured bacterium. RNAcentral describes it as "bacterial SSU rRNA". It matches the Rfam family "Bacterial small subunit ribosomal RNA", at positions 28 to 362 of the family's 1533-position model. The record is from RNAcentral.